RNAcentral lists this ribosomal RNA (254 nucleotides) under uncultured bacterium. RNAcentral describes it as "partial 16S ribosomal RNA". It matches the Rfam family "Bacterial small subunit ribosomal RNA", at positions 524 to 777 of the family's 1533-position model. The record is from RNAcentral.
UACGUAGGGUCCGAGCGUUGUCCGGAAUUACUGGGCGUAAAGCGCGCGCAGGCGGCUUCCCAAGCGCCACGUGAAAUCCCUCGGCUUAACCGGGGAACUGCGUCUGAUACUGGAUGGCUUGAGUUCGGGAGAGGGAUGCGGAAUUCCAGGUGUAGCGGUGAAAUGCGUAGAUAUCUGGAGGAACACCGGUGGCGAAGGCGGCAUCCUGGACCGACACUGACGCUGAGGAGCGAAAGCCAGGGGAGCAAAGCGGG